CAGUCGCCGCGGUAAAACGAAGGGGGCUAGCGUUGUUCGGAUUUACUGGGCGUAAAGCGCACGUAGGCGGACUUUUAAGUCUGGGGUGAAAUCCCGGGGCUCAACCCCGGAACUGCCUUUGAUACUGGGUAUCUUGAGUCCGGGAGAGGUUGGUGGAACUCCGAGUGUAGAGGUGAAAUUCGUAGAUAUUAGGAAGAACACCAGUGGCGAAGGCGGCCAACUGGCCCGGUACUGACGCUGAGGUGCGAAAGCGUGGGGAGCAAACAGGAUUAGAUACCCCAGUAGUCCCUGUCUCUUAUAC
Molecule: ribosomal RNA, 301 nt
Filed under: uncultured bacterium
Lineage: Bacteria
Description: partial 16S ribosomal RNA
Rfam family: Bacterial small subunit ribosomal RNA
Source: RNAcentral